This 588-nucleotide ribosomal RNA is filed under the name uncultured bacterium. RNAcentral's name for it is "bacterial SSU rRNA". It matches the Rfam family "Bacterial small subunit ribosomal RNA", at positions 338 to 944 of the family's 1533-position model. The record is from RNAcentral.
CCUACGGGGGGCAGCAGUGGGGAAGUAUUGGACAAUGGGCGAAAGCCUGAUCCAGCAAUGCCGCGUGAGUGAUGAAGGCCUUCGGGUCGUAAAGCUCUUUUACCAGGGAUGAUAAUGACAGUACCUGGAGAAUAAGCUCCGGCUAACUCCGUGCCAGCAGCCGCGGUAAUACGGAGGGAGCUAGCGUUGUUCGGAAUUACUGGGCGUAAAGAGUACGUAGGCGGUUAUUCAAGUCAGAGGUGAAAGCCCGGGGCUCAACCCCGGAACUGCCUUUGAAACUAGAUAACUAGAGUCUUGGAGAGGUUAGUGGAAUUCCGAGUGUAGAGGUGAAAUUCGUAGAUAUUCGGAAGAACACCAGUGGCGAAGGCGACUAACUGGACAAGUACUGACGCUGAGGUACGAAAGCGUGGGGAGCAAACAGGAUUAGAUACCCUGGUAGUCCACGCCGUAAACGAUGAUAACUAGUUGUUCGGUCACUUGGUGACUGAGUGACGCAGCUAACGCAUUAAGUUAUCCGCCUGGGGAGUACGGUCGCAGNUAAACUCAAGGAAUUGACGGCUGAGACNGCGACGACGACGACGAGGAGAG